This 76-nucleotide transfer RNA is filed under the name Verrucomicrobiota bacterium. RNAcentral describes it as "Verrucomicrobia bacterium (freshwater metagenome) tRNA-Cys". It matches the Rfam family "tRNA". Rfam says of the family: Transfer RNA (tRNA) molecules are approximately 80 nucleotides in length. Their secondary structure includes four short double-helical elements and three loops (D, anti-codon, and T loops). Lineage: Bacteria; Pseudomonadati; Verrucomicrobiota. The record is from RNAcentral.
GGCGGGGUAGCCAAGUGGUAAGGCAGGGCUCUGCAAAAGCCCCAUUUCGUCGGUUCGAUUCCGACCCUCGCCUCGA